RNAcentral lists this ribosomal RNA (253 nucleotides) under uncultured bacterium. RNAcentral describes it as "partial 16S ribosomal RNA". It matches the Rfam family "Bacterial small subunit ribosomal RNA", at positions 524 to 776 of the family's 1533-position model. The record is from RNAcentral.
UACAGAGGGUGCGAGCGUUAGUCGGAAUUACUGGGCGUAAAGGGUGCGUAGGUGGUUGCAUAAGUUAGGUGUGAAAGUCCUGGGCUUAACCUGGGGACUGCGCCUAAGACUGUGUGGCUAGAGUACUGUAGAGGAAGGUGGAAUUUCCAGUGUAGCGGUGAAAUGCGUAGAUAUUGGAAGGAACAUCGGUGGCGAAGGCGGCUUACUGGGUCUCUUCUGACGCUGAGAUACGAAAGCUAGGGGAGCGAAGGGG